This 442-nucleotide ribosomal RNA is filed under the name uncultured bacterium. Its description in RNAcentral is "partial 16S ribosomal RNA". It matches the Rfam family "Bacterial small subunit ribosomal RNA", at positions 338 to 795 of the family's 1533-position model. The record is from RNAcentral.
CCUACGGGUGGCUGCAGUGGGGAAUUUUGGGCAAUGGGCGCAAGCCUGACCCAGCAACGCCGCGUGAAGGAAGAAGGCCUUCGGGUUGUAAACUUCUUUUGUCAGGGACGAGUAGAAGAUGGUACCUGACGAAUAAGCCACGGCUAACUACGUGCCAGCAGCCGGGGUAAUACGUUGGUGGCAAGCGUUGUCCGGAUUUACUGGGUGUAAAGGGUGUGUAGCCGGGUUGACAAGUCAGAUGUGAAAUCCUGCGGCUUAACCGCAGAACUGCAUAUGGAACUGUUGAUCUUGAGUACGGGAGAGGCAGACGGAAUUCCAAGUGUAGCAGUGAAAUGCGUAGAUAUGAGGAGGAACACCAGUGGCGAAGGCGGUCUGCUGGACAGCAACUGACGGUGAGGCGCGAAAGCGUGGGGAGCAAACAGGAUUAGAUACCCGUGUAGUC